RNAcentral lists this ribosomal RNA (1320 nucleotides) under metagenome. RNAcentral describes it as "bacterial LSU rRNA". It matches the Rfam family "Bacterial large subunit ribosomal RNA", at positions 1627 to 2925 of the family's 2925-position model. The record is from RNAcentral.
CAGGACUGCAGUUGACCGUACCGUAAUCCGACACAGGUAGGCGAGGCGAGCAGCCUAAGGUGCUCGAGUGAUUUACGGAAAAGGAACUCGGCAAAAUGACCCCGUUACUUCGGGAUAAGGGGUGCCGGCAGUAGCUGACCUAAUCAAGGGAAGGCGAGACCGGCCGCAGAGAAUCGUCCCAAGCGACUGUUUAGCAAAAACACAGGAGCGUGCUAAGGCAUUGUCCAAGCCAACGUAUACGCUCUGACUCCUGCCCGGUGCCGGAAGGUUAAGGCAAGUCGUCAGCCGCAAGGCGAAGCGAUGAACCGAAGCCCCGGUAAACGGCGGCCGUAACGAUAACGGUCCUAAGGUAGCGAAAUUCCUUGUCGGGUAAGUUCCGACCUGCACGAAUGGAGUAACGACUUGGGAGCUGUCUCUUCCGUAAGCUCGGCGAAAUAGAAGCAUCGGUGAGGAUUCCGAUUACCCGCGACAGGACAAAAAGACCCCAUGCACCUUUACUACAACCUGUCAUUGAUUGUCGGUAUGCGUUGCGUAGCAUAGGUGGGAGCCGGUGAAACCGGGGUUUCGGCCCUGGUGGAGGCACCAGUGAAAUACCACCCUUCGUUUACUAACAAUCUCACUCAGCCGGCAACACCGGCGAGGACCGUGGCAGGCGGGUAGUUUGACUGGGGCGGUCGCCUCCUAAAAAGUACCGGAGGCGCACAAUGGUUGGCUCAGUGCGGUCGGUAAUCGCACGUCGAGUGUAUACGCAGAAGCCAGCCUGACUGCGAGCGCGACAGCGCGAGCAGGGACGAAAGUCGGUGUAAGUGAUCCGGCGGGACCGUGUGGACGGCCCGUCGCUCAUCGGAUAAAAGGUACGCUGGGGAUAACAGGCUUAUCGCGCCCGAGAGUUCACAUCGACGGCGCGGUUUGGCACCUCGAUGUCGGCUUGUCACAUCCUGGGGCUGGAGAAGGUCCCAAGGGUCCGGCUGUUCGCCGGUUAAAGUGGCACAUGAGCUGGGUUCAGAACGUCGUGAGACAGUUCGGUCUGUAUCCGUCGUGGGCGUGGGAAUGUUGAGGGACGUCGACCUUAGUACGAGAGGACCGGGUCGAAGCGACCGCUCGUGUACGGGCUAUCCUGCCAAGGGUAUCGCCCGGUAGCGAUGUCGCGCGCAGAUAACCGCUGAAAGCAUCUAAGUGGGAAACUGUUCCCAAGAUGAACAUUCCUGGGUCUUAAGACCCCUGAAGGGCCGUGGGAGACUACCACGUUGAUAGGCGGCAGAUGUAAGGCGUGCAAGCGCUUCAGUCGAGCCGUACUAAUCGCCCGUGCAGUUUGAUCUA